This is a non-coding RNA of Doryrhamphus excisus (bluestripe pipefish), 2701 nucleotides long. NCBI's taxonomy places the organism in Eukaryota, Metazoa, Chordata, Actinopteri, Syngnathiformes, Syngnathidae. The record is from RefSeq and is a predicted model, not a curated record.
UUUUGAGCUGCUGACUGAUGGAUCAUUUUAAUUCUAGAAUGUGAUCUUGGCCUACGUGAUCUUACCAGUUUGUGUAGAAAACAAAGAUGCUGAGAUGAUGCUCCACUCACUUCUUCCCUCCACACGUUGGUGUUGAGUGAGCAGAAAGAUGGUGUACCACUGACACUACGACUUUAUACCAGUUCUAAUGUUGACUUUAUACUUGAAUUGGCCAAUGAUGAACCACAUUCGGUUUUCAGUUUGACUAAUGGAAUAUUAAUGUGUUGGACCCAAGCUGAGAUGCCAACAUCUCAUUGUUAUUACACAAAUAUUGUCACCAGUCAUGUGGUUGACUCUUUUCUCAGCUGUUCCUCCAUGCUCUUGUAAUCGUUUGAAUGCCGCAUCUUUUGUUAUUGUGUUAACAGACACCCCCUCUAUUUUUUGUUUUCUAUUGAACAACUCUGUUCAUAUGUUGAGGGUCAGUUACACAGUUUUGCCAGUAGGUGGCGAUCUGGCUCCAAUUGUUGAUCAAUUGGAGAGCCCAUGCGUGUACGCUCUUCCCAUGCGCAGGUCAGAAAUAAAGGAGCAAGGCACAUGUGCUAAUGUGGUCCCCUCUCUGUUAAUCCACAGGUUACGCAGUGUCCCCUGGCCUGUGUAACCCUCGCUGCCGGUCCAGAUUACCCGUAGGUCUGGUGCCGGUAACACUUUACCACCCUUGCAUGUCUAUGGAAGUUCUUUUACAGAGUAAUUCAUUUGCCUGCAACAGACUAUGGUAUUCUUGUAGUCAGGAAGUCACUCUUGGGAAGUAAUCGUUCCCUGCUUGCAAAUGACAAGCUCACCGAUGUCCGGAGUUGCUAACAGCCUUUUUCCACUGCUAACAGUGUGUCUACAGUGUUUUUUAAAUGCAGGUAGUCCCGCAAAAAACGUGUAAUUGUCACGCCCUGUGUAGGCUCCCGUGUGACAGUUUGUUUAUGUUACCUUCUUUGGCUUUAGUUUCUGUUUGGACACCGUUAUUUUGCAUGCACUUCCUGCUUUGCCACGUUUUUCCCUGUGUUGCAAUUAUCACCCACACCUGUUCCUUAUUUCUGUUACCUAUUUAGUUCAGGUGUGUGCUUCUCCCCUUUGUGGGCUCAUUAUUGUUGGUUGCUCUGCCCUUCUCUGUUGCUGUAUCCUGCUGCCGCUAUUAUCAAAUUCAAAGCUUUUACCUGCAUUUGCUCCUGUUCUCUGCAUUCUGGGGUCGCACCGCAAAGCCAAAGAGCCCUGAUCUUGACAGUAAUAGCCACGUUUCCACUAUUGAUGUUGUGACGAAAUUGUCUGCACUAUGAAGUAAACACUUACGUUACCACUCGUUCAUACAUGGAAAAUCGAGGUUCUCCAACCAGUAGCUCCUAAACACUUUUCAAGUAGCGCUCCAAAAGGUUGAUUUAUUUAUUAUCAAUUCCUAAAUUGACAAAUUGACAUCUUUUGCAACUGUUCAUUGAUGAUUUAAAUAAUCAAUUCCAAUCAUUUUUUACAUUCCUAAUUCAUUUUACACAAUACACAUGAUUUGGACACACAUUAAGACACUUGGGAGCUGAAAGAGCCGGGCCGAGCCAAAAGAAGCGGCUGUCUAAAAAGAGACAUCACUACUGUCAUAGGUCUGUGUGACAAGGCAAGACCAAAAUAUUUCAUCCAGAUAUGGGAGGUCAAUACAGAUGUUUAUGUUUUGGUCAAUGUGGAUAUUUAACUUUUACCGCCAAAGAGAAGUAAAAACAAAGAGAUUGUUUUGGAUCAUUUUCUAACUAUAAAAAAAACAUUCUCAAUCCUGAGUAAAAUCAUGUUUUAAUGUUUACUUUUUUUUUGAAUUCUUAUCUGGGACUACUCCUCCGCUCUUCCUCCUCUUCCUCCUCCCCAUCCUCCCCCUCCUCUUCCUCCUCCUGCUCCUCCUCCACUAUAGCCACCGUACCCGAUACGGACCGGCUUUUUUGCCAAGCUUUUACCCCCAAAGCCCCUUUAUAGCCUCCACUACCUCUACCUUGAUCAUGUCCGGCCUCUGAGCUGGGUGUCAUUGUGGAUAAGAGCAGCACACACAGGGCCAAUAUCAGCAGUCUGGACAUGAUUGUUUACCUGUAAGGGAAAAAUCUAAUGAUUACCACCAUAAUAAACAUACUGUACUCUAACAUACUGUUACAUUAAUACCUGAGGUUUUUAUGUUGAGCUGCUAACUGAUUGAUAGUUUAAUUUUAGUUUCAGAAUGUGACCUUUGGCCUAUGUGAUCUUACCAGCUGGAGUCGAAAACAAACUGAUGCUCAUCAAGGCUGAUACUGAAGCAGCACGUUGGCGUUGGAGUGAGUAGAAAGAUGCUCUACCACUGACAAAUUGAAGUCAAUCGAAGUGAUCUUACCUGUUUGAGUCGGGAAACAAAGUUGUUGAGACUAUGCUUCACUCACUUCUUCACAUCGACUGAAACAGCACGUUGGUGUUGGAGGGAGCAGAAAGAUGCUCUACCACUGACAGUGUGGAUAUCAGGUUUGACAAGAAAGAGAUACGGCUGCAGCAGCCUCCUGGAUCGAUAGAUGAAUCGAUUAGAGAUACAUGCAACAGGUAUUGCAGACCUAGCAACCGGUUGUCUUAAACAAUAAGCCAGAGUCUGGGCUGGUGGCGAUUAUCUCACAUACGAGCUUACCGUGAAGACGACAAUGGAUGUACAGUUAAUAGUAGCAGCAAACUAGCUGACGGGAUA